UUGGACUAAGGUUUUUUGGCAC
Molecule: microRNA, 22 nt
Filed under: Glycine max (soybean)
Lineage: Eukaryota; Viridiplantae; Streptophyta; Magnoliopsida; Fabales; Fabaceae
Description: gma-miR10438
Source: miRBase by way of RNAcentral